GAGUUUGAUCAUGGCUCAGAACGUACGCUGGCGGCACGCCUAACACAUGCAAGUCGAACGAAGUAGCAAUACUUAGUGGCAGACGGGUGAGUAACAUGUAGGUAUCUGCCCUUUGGCCUGGAAUAACACGAGGAAACUUGUGCUAAUACCGGAUAAGUCUUUACGGAGAAAGCUUUAUGCACCAUUGGAUGAGCCUGCACUUGAUUAGUUUGUUGGUGGGGUAAUGGCCUACCAAGACUGUGAUCAAUAGCUGAUUUGAGAGGAUGAUCAGCCACAUUGGGACUGAGACACGGCCCAAACUCCUACGGGAGGCAGCAGUGGGGAAUCUUGCACAAUGGAGGAAACUCUGAUGCAGCGAUGCCGCGUGAGUGAAGAAGGCCUUUGGGUUGUAAAGCUCUUUCGUCGGGGAAGAAAAUGACUGUACCCGAAUAAGAAGGUCCGGCUAACUUCGUGCCAGCAGCCGCGGUAAUACGAAGGGACCUAGCGUAGUUCGGAAUUACUGGGCUUAAAGAGUUCGUAGGUGGUUGAAAUAGUUGGUGGUGAAAUCCCAGAGCUUAACUCUGGAACUGCCAUCAAAACUUUUCAGCUAGAGUAUGAUAGAGGAAAGCAGAAUUUCUAGUGUAGAGGUGAAAUUCGUAGAUAUUAGAAAGAAUACCAAUUGCGAAGGCAGCUUUCUGGAUCAUUACUGACACUGAGGAACGAAAGCAUGGGUAGCGAAGAGGAUUAGAUACCCUCGUAGUCCAUGCCGUAAACGAUGUGUGUUAGACGUUGGAAAUUUAUUUUCAGUGUCGCAGGGAAACCGAUAAACACACCGCCUGGGGAGUACGACCGCAAGGUUAAAACUCAAAUGAAUUGACGGGGACCCGCACAAGUAGUGGAGCAUGUGGUUUAAUUCGAAGAUACGCGCAGAACCUUACCAACACUUGACAUGUUCGUCGCGACUCUAAGAGAUUAGAGUUUUCGGUUCGGCCGGACGAAACACAGGUGCUGCAUGGCUGUCGUCAGCUCGUGUCGUGAGAUGUUGGGUUAAGUCCCGCAACGAGCGCAACCCUCACUUUUAGUUGCCAUCAUUAAGUUGGGCACUCUGAAAGAACUGCCAGUGAUAAGCUGGAGGAAGGUGGGGAUGACGUCAAGUCCUCAUGGCCCUUACGUGUUGGGCUACACACGUGCUACAAUGGUAUCUACAACAGGAAGCAAGACUGCGAAGUUAAGCAAAUCCCUAAAAGAUACCUCAGUUCGGAUUGCACUCUGCAACUCGAGUGCAUGAAGCUGGAAUUACUAGUAAUCGUGGAUCAGCGUGCCACGGUGAAUGCGU
RNAcentral lists this ribosomal RNA (1315 nucleotides) under unidentified marine bacterioplankton. RNAcentral's name for it is "bacterial SSU rRNA". It matches the Rfam family "Bacterial small subunit ribosomal RNA", at positions 9 to 1371 of the family's 1533-position model. The record is from RNAcentral.